RNAcentral lists this ribosomal RNA (253 nucleotides) under uncultured bacterium. RNAcentral's name for it is "partial 16S ribosomal RNA". It matches the Rfam family "Bacterial small subunit ribosomal RNA", at positions 524 to 776 of the family's 1533-position model. The record is from RNAcentral.
UACGGAGGGUGCAAGCGUUAUCCGGAUUCACUGGGUUUAAAGGGUGCGUAGGAGGGCAGGUAAGUCAGUGGUGAAAUCUCCAAGCUUAACUUGGAAACUGCCGUUGAUACUAUCUGUCUUGAAUAUUGUGGAGGUGAGCGGAAUAUGUCAUGUAGCGGUGAAAUGCUUAGAUAUGACAUAGAACACCAAUUGCGAAGGCAGCUCACUACGGAUAUAUUGACACUGAGGCACGAAAGCGUGGGGAUCAAACAGG